RNAcentral lists this unclassified non-coding RNA (253 nucleotides) under fungal sp. RNAcentral's name for it is "partial internal transcribed spacer region". The stretch from base 1 to 46 matches the Rfam family "Eukaryotic small subunit ribosomal RNA", at positions 1786 to 1831 of the family's 1831-position model. Lineage: Eukaryota; Fungi. The record is from RNAcentral.
AAGUCGUAACAAGGUUUCCGUAGGUGAACCUGCGGAAGGAUCAUUACCAAAUUCAUAACAAGAAGGUUUUUGCAAAAAGACCUUUAUUGUUUUAAACCCCAUUGUGAACAAGUUGAUGUUUUUAUUUGCAAAGUCUUUUUUAAUUAAAGGACUUUGCAUAUUUAUUAAAAAAACAAAGUUUUUUGGUUUUUCGUGGAUUUGAAAGUUGAAAAAUAAUAAAAAACAACUUUUAACGGUGGAUCUCUUGGCUCGU